UUCUAGAACACUGGUUCCAGUAUGAUCAACAAAGUUAAGCAACAUAGAGUUUGGUCAGUACCUAAAUGGGUGACCACUUGGGAAUACCAGGUGUU
Acanthosepion pharaonis is the source of this 95-nucleotide non-coding RNA. The record is from the annotation of a GenBank genome assembly. Lineage: Eukaryota; Metazoa; Mollusca; Cephalopoda; Sepiida; Sepiidae.